Molecule: ribosomal RNA, 379 nt
Filed under: uncultured eukaryote
Lineage: Eukaryota
Description: partial 18S ribosomal RNA
Rfam family: Eukaryotic small subunit ribosomal RNA
Source: RNAcentral
CAAUAGCGUAUAUUUAAGUUGUUGCAGUUAAAAAGCUCGUAGUUGGAUUUCGGAUGGGACUUGCCGGUCCGUCGUUUCGAUGUGCACUGGCCAGUCCUAUCUUGUUGUCGGGGACUAGCUCCUGGGCUUCACUGUCCGGGACUAGGAGCUGACGAGGUUACUUUGAGUAAAUUAGAGUGUUCAAAGCAAGCCUACGCUCUGAAUACAUUAGCAUGGAAUAACACGAUAGGACUCUGGCUUAUCUUGUUGGUCUGUGAGACCAGAGUAAUGAUUAAGAGGGACAGUCGGGGGCAUUCGUAUUUCAUUGCCAGAGGUGAAAUUCUUGGAUUUAUGAAAGACGAACUUCUGCGAAAGCAUUUGUCAAGGAUGUUUUCAUUAA